UGCCAGCCGCCGCGGUAAUACGAAGGGCCCGAGCGUUGCGCGGAAUCACUGGGCUUAAAGCGUACGUAGGCGGAUGUGCAGGCGUCUUGUGAAAUCCCUCGGCUCAACCGAGGAACUGCUGGGCGAACCGCAUGUCUUGAGGCUGGUAGGGGCUGUCGGAACGAUAGGUGGAGUGGUGAAAUGCGUUGAUAUCUAUCGGAACGCCAAAGGUGAAGACAGGCAGCUGGGCCAGACCUGACGCUGAGGUACGAAAGCGUGGGGAGCGAACGGGAUUAGAUA
This 279-nucleotide ribosomal RNA is filed under the name uncultured bacterium. Its description in RNAcentral is "partial 16S ribosomal RNA". It matches the Rfam family "Bacterial small subunit ribosomal RNA", at positions 506 to 784 of the family's 1533-position model. The record is from RNAcentral.